GGGCCGGUAGCUCAGUGGUAGAGCACCUGACUUUUAAUCAGAGGGUCGUGGGUUCGAUCCCCACCCGGCUCACCA
Molecule: transfer RNA, 75 nt
Filed under: Chloroflexus aggregans
Lineage: Bacteria; Bacillati; Chloroflexota; Chloroflexia; Chloroflexales; Chloroflexaceae
Also listed under: 6 other names
Description: tRNA-Lys
Rfam family: tRNA
About the family: Transfer RNA (tRNA) molecules are approximately 80 nucleotides in length. Their secondary structure includes four short double-helical elements and three loops (D, anti-codon, and T loops).
Source: RNAcentral